AAAAAGCCGCUAUCGUGUAGCAAGGGCCCGUACCGUAAACCGACACAGGUGGAUGAGGAGAGGAUCCUAAGGCCGGCGGGAGAAGUGUUGUUAAGGAACUCGGCAAAAUGACUCCGUAACUUCGGGAGAAGGAGUGCUGCGCAAGCAGCCGCAGAGAAAUGGCCCAAGCAACUGUUUAGCAAAAACACAGGUCUAUGCGAAACCGAAAGGUGAGGUAUAUGGGCUGACGCCUGCCCGGUGCUGGAAGGUUAAGGGGAGAGCUUAGCGCGAGCGAAGGUUUGAACUUAAGCCCCAGUAAACGGCGGCCGUAACUAUAACGGUCCUAAGGUAGCGAAAUUCCUUGUCGGGUAAGUUCCGACCCGCACGAAAGGCGUAAUGAUUUGGGCACUGUCUCAACAACACACCCGGUGAAAUUGAAAUACCAGUGAAGAUGCUGGUUACCCGCGCCAGGACGGAAAGACCCCAUGGAGCUUUACUCCAGCCUGAUACUGGGAUUCGGUAUUGCAUGUACAGGAUAGGUGGGAGGCUAAGAACUCAUGGCGCCAGCCGUGAGGGAGCCGGUGUUGGGAUACCACCCCUGCAGUACUGGGUUUCUAACCUGCGCCCGUGACCCGGGCGGGGGACAAUGUCAGGCGGGGAGUUUGACUGGGGCGGUCGCCUCCGAAAGGGUAUCGGAGGCGCUCAAAGGUCUCCUCAGGAUGGUUGGAAACCAUCCAGAGAGUGCAAAGGCAGAAGGAGGCUUGACUGCGACACCGACGGGUGGAGCAGGUACGAAAGUAGGACUUAGUGAUCCGGUGGCAUAAAGUGGGAUUGCCAUCGCUCAACGGAUAAAAGCUACCCUGGGAUAACAGGCUUAUCAUUCCCAAGAGUUCACAUCGACGGAGUGGUUUGGCUCCUCGAUGUCGGCUCAUCGCAUCCUGGAGCUGGAGCAGGUUCCAAGGGUUGGGCUGUUCGCCCAUUAAAGCGGUACGCGAGCUGGGUUCAGAACGUCGUGAGACAGUUCGGUCCCUAUCCGGCGCGGGCGCAGGAUAUCUGAGAGGAGCUGUCCUUAGUACGAGAGGACCGGGAUGGACCGUCCGCUGGUGGACCGGUUGUCAUGCCAAUGGCACGGCCGGGUAGCCAAGACGGGAAGGGAUAAACGCUGAAGGCAUCUAAGCGUGAAGCCCCCCUCAAGAUGAGAUAUCCAUACUCGAAAGAGUGAGAGACCCCUUAGAGACGAUGAGGUAGAUAGGGCAGAGAUGGAAGUGCAGCGAUGCAUGGAGUUGACUGUUACUAAUCGGUCGAAAGCC
This 1289-nucleotide ribosomal RNA is filed under the name metagenome. RNAcentral's name for it is "bacterial LSU rRNA". It matches the Rfam family "Bacterial large subunit ribosomal RNA", at positions 1612 to 2925 of the family's 2925-position model. The record is from RNAcentral.